AACGAACGCUGGCGGCAGGCCUAACACAUGCAAGUCGAGCGAGGACUUCGGUUCUAGCGGCGGACGGGGGAGUAACGCGGGGGAAUGUGCCCUUCUCUACGGAAUAGCCCUGGGAAACUGGGAGUAAUACCGUAUACGCCCUAUUGGGGAAAGAUUUAUCGGAGAAGGAUCAGCCCGCGUUGGAUUAGGUAGUUGGUGGGGUAAUGGCCUACCAAGCCGACGAUCCAUAGCUGGUUGGAGAGGAUGAUCAGCCACACUGGGACUGAGACACGGCCCAGACUCCUACGGGAGGCAGCAGUGGGGAAUCUUAGAGAGUGGGGGCAACGCUGAUCUAGCCAGGCCGCGUGAGUGAUGAAGGGCUUAGGGUUGUAAAGCUCUUUCAGCUGGGAAGAUAAUGACGGUACCAGCAGAAGAAGCCCCGGCUAACUCCGU
RNAcentral lists this ribosomal RNA (432 nucleotides) under uncultured bacterium. Its description in RNAcentral is "partial 16S ribosomal RNA". It matches the Rfam family "Bacterial small subunit ribosomal RNA", at positions 29 to 506 of the family's 1533-position model. The record is from RNAcentral.